AACAUACUCCCUCGGUCCCACAAUUCUUAUCUUAGAUUUGUCUACAAAUGAAUGUAUCUAAAUACUAAAACGUGACUAGAUACAUUUAUAUCUACACAAAUUUAGGGCAAAUUUUUUGAGACGGAGGGAUUAUGUA
Molecule: non-coding RNA, 136 nt
Organism: Hordeum vulgare subsp. vulgare (domesticated barley)
Lineage: Eukaryota; Viridiplantae; Streptophyta; Magnoliopsida; Poales; Poaceae
Source: Rfam